GAGUUUGAUCCUGGCUCAGGACGAACGCUGGCGGCGUGCUUAACACAUGCAAGUCGAACGAAAAGACGGAAAGAGCUUGCUCUUUCCGGAAUUGAGUGGCAAACGGGUGAGUAACACGUAAACAACCUGCCUUCAGGAUGGGGACAACAGACGGAAACGACUGCUAAUACCGAAUAAGUUCCAAGGGCCGCAUGGCCCAUGGAAGAAAAGGUGGCCUCUACCUGUAAGCUAUCGCCUGAAGAGGGGUUUGCGUCUGAUUAGCUGGUUGGAGGGGUAACGGCCCACCAAGGCGACGAUCAGUAGCCGGUCUGAGAGGAUGAACGGCCACACUGGAACUGAGACACGGUCCAGACUCCUACGGGAGGCAGCAGUGGGGAAUCUUCCGCAAUGGGCGAAAGCCUGACGGAGCAACGCCGCGUGAGUGAUGACGGCCUUCGGGUUGUAAAACUCUGUGAUCCGGGACGAAAAGGCAGACUGCGAAAAACAGACAGCAUUGACGGUACCGGAAAAGCAAGCCACGGCUAACUACGUGCCAGCCGCCGCGGUAAUAC
RNAcentral lists this ribosomal RNA (551 nucleotides) under uncultured bacterium. Its description in RNAcentral is "bacterial SSU rRNA". It matches the Rfam family "Bacterial small subunit ribosomal RNA", at positions 9 to 526 of the family's 1533-position model. The record is from RNAcentral.